RNAcentral lists this unclassified non-coding RNA (121 nucleotides) under uncultured fungus. Its description in RNAcentral is "sequence contains ITS1". The stretch from base 1 to 106 matches the Rfam family "5.8S ribosomal RNA", at positions 50 to 154 of the family's 154-position model. From Rfam's summary of the family: 5.8S ribosomal RNA (5.8S rRNA) is a component of the large subunit of the eukaryotic ribosome. It is transcribed by RNA polymerase I as part of the 45S precursor that also contains 18S and 28S rRNA. The record is from RNAcentral. Lineage: Eukaryota; Fungi.
GAAAUGCGAUAUGUAAUGCGAAUUGCAGAAUUCAGUGAAUCAUCAAAUCUUUGAACGCAAAUGGCGCUCUCGGGAUAGACCUGGGAGCACACCUCUCUGAGUAUCGGUUCAACCAUCACUC